Molecule: non-coding RNA, 100 nt
Organism: Triticum urartu
Lineage: Eukaryota; Viridiplantae; Streptophyta; Magnoliopsida; Poales; Poaceae
Source: Rfam
UAUAUAUUCCCUCCGUCCGAAAAUACUUGUCAUCAAAAUGGAUAAAAUGAUAUGUAUCUAGAUGUUGAUGACAAGUAUUUCCGGACGGAGGGAGUAUUUA